GGUUAAAAAGCUCGUAGUUGGAUUUCUGUUGGAGUCAGACGGUGCGCACCUCGUGCGUUAUUUGAAUGGCUUUGGCAUCCUCUGGGGGAACGUCUCUGGACUUAAUUGGACAGGGCGAGAUUCCAGACUUUUACUUUGAGGAAAUUAGAGUGUUCACGGCAGGCAAGUGCUUUGAAUACAUUAGCAUGGAAUAAUAAUAUAGGACCUUCGUUCUAUUUUGUUGGUUUCUAGAACUUAGGUAAUGAUUAAUAGGGACAAUUGGGGGCAUUCGUAUUAACGCGUCAGAGGUGGAAUUCUUGGAUUGCGUUACGACGAACUACUGCGAAAGCAUUUGCCAAAGAUGUUUUCAUUGAUCAAGAACGAAAGUAUGGGGAUCGAAGACGCUUAGAUACCGUCGUAGUCUAUACCAUAAACUAUGCCAACUAGGGAUG
Molecule: ribosomal RNA, 431 nt
Filed under: uncultured marine eukaryote
Lineage: Eukaryota
Description: SSU rRNA
Rfam family: Eukaryotic small subunit ribosomal RNA
Source: RNAcentral